GGAGUGAGCUUGGCGAUCGCUUUCCGCAAGGAGAGAGGAAAGUCCGGGCUCCAUAAGGGCAGGGUGGCCGUUAACGACGGCGCGGAGCGAUCCGCGGAAAGUGGCACAGAAAACAGACCGCCCGAAAGGGUAAGGGUGAAACGGCGGGGUAAGAGCCCACCGGCGCGCGAGUGAUCGUGCGCGCAUGCCAAACCCCACCCGGAGCAAGACCAAAUAGGAGGGUGAGCGGCCCGCUCAUAUCCCUCGGGUAUGGUCGCUAGAGCCGGCGAGCAAUCGCUCGGCCCAGAGGAAUGAUCGCCGCCCGCAAGGGUACAGAACCCGGCUUACGGGCUCACUCCGGCC
RNAcentral lists this RNase P RNA (342 nucleotides) under Deltaproteobacteria bacterium. RNAcentral describes it as "RNase P RNA component class A". It matches the Rfam family "Bacterial RNase P class A". From Rfam's summary of the family: Ribonuclease P (RNase P) is a ubiquitous endoribonuclease, found in archaea, bacteria and eukarya as well as chloroplasts and mitochondria. Its best characterised activity is the generation of mature 5'-ends of tRNAs by cleaving the 5'-leader elements of precursor-tRNAs. The record is from RNAcentral. Lineage: Bacteria; Pseudomonadati; Myxococcota; Myxococcia.